AGCCAUUUUCAACUCCAUAUUAGUUGUUGGUGGUUAGCGGUAUGGGGGUGUUGCAGCACCUUCAUAUCGCGAA
Molecule: non-coding RNA, 73 nt
Filed under: Enterobacter hormaechei
Lineage: Bacteria; Pseudomonadati; Pseudomonadota; Gammaproteobacteria; Enterobacterales; Enterobacteriaceae
Source: RNAcentral